Molecule: ribosomal RNA, 805 nt
Filed under: uncultured soil bacterium
Lineage: Bacteria
Description: bacterial SSU rRNA
Rfam family: Bacterial small subunit ribosomal RNA
Source: RNAcentral
AGAGUUUGAUCCUGGCUCAGGACGAACGCAGGCGGCGUGCCUAAUACAUGCAAGUCGAGCGAGACUCUUCGGAGUCUAGCGGCGGACGGGUGAGUAACACGUGGGCAACCUGCCUGUAAGACUGGGAUAACACCGGGAAACCGGUGCUAAUACCGGAUAAUCCUUUUCCUCUCAUGAGGAAAAGCUGAAAGUCGGUUUCGGCUGACACUUACAGAUGGGCCCGCGGCGCAUUAGCUAGUUGGUGAGGUAACGGCUCACCAAGGCGACGAUGCGUAGCCGACCUGAGAGGGUGAUCGGCCACACUGGGACUGAGACACGGCCCAGACUCCUACGGGAGGCAGCAGUAGGGAAUCUUCCACAAUGGACGAAAGUCUGAUGGAGCAACGCCGCGUGAGCGAUGAAGGCCUUCGGGUCGUAAAGCUCUGUUGUUAGGGAAGAACAAGUACCGGAGUAACUGCCGGUACCUUGACGGUACCUAACCAGAAAGCCACGGCUAACUACGUGCCAGCAGCCGCGGUAAUACGUAGGUGGCAAGCGUUGUCUGGAAUUAUUGGGCGUAAAGCGCUCGCAGGCGGUCCUUUAAGUCUGAUGUGAAAUCUCGCGGCUCAACCGCGAACGGUCAUUGGAAACUGGAGGACUUGAGUACAGAAGAGGAGAGUGGAAUUCCACGUGUACCGGUGAAAUGCGUAGAGAUGUGGACGAACACCAGUGGCGAGGCGACUCUCUGGUCUGUAACUGACGCUGAUGAGCGAACGCGUGGGGAGCGAACACGAUUAGAUACCCUGUUACAUCCACGCCGUAAACG